UACAGAGGUGGCAAGCGUUGUCCGGAAUCACUGGGCGUAAAGGGCGCGUAGGCGGCUGGGGAAGUCGGCGGUGAAAGCCCGGAGCUCAACUCCGGGUCGGCCGUCGAGACUCCUCGGCUCGAGCUCACUAGAGGCAGAUGGAAUUCCGGGUGUAGCGGUGGAAUGCGUAGAGAUCCGGAAGAACACCGGUGGCGAAGGCGGUCUGCUGGGGUGAGGCUGACGCUGAUGCGCGACAGCGUGGGGAGCAAACAGG
This 253-nucleotide ribosomal RNA is filed under the name uncultured bacterium. RNAcentral describes it as "partial 16S ribosomal RNA". It matches the Rfam family "Bacterial small subunit ribosomal RNA", at positions 524 to 776 of the family's 1533-position model. The record is from RNAcentral.